Molecule: unclassified non-coding RNA, 408 nt
Filed under: soil metagenome
Description: partial contains 5.8S ribosomal RNA, internal transcribed spacer 2, and large subunit ribosomal RNA
Rfam family: 5.8S ribosomal RNA (bases 1-120)
Source: RNAcentral
GAUGAAGAACGCAGUGAAAUGCGAUAAGUAAUGUGAAUUGCAGAAUUCAGUGAAUCAUCGAAUCUUUGAACGCACCUUGAGCUCCUUGGCAUUCCGAGGAGCAUGCCUGUUUGAGUGUCAUUAAAUUCUCAAGACCUGUCUGCUUUUUUGAUAGGUAUUGGAUUUUGGGGGUUGCAGGCUGUUUCAAAUAAAUAGCCUUGCUCUCCUUGAAUGUAUUAGUGGAGAAAAGCCAUUGAACUCCAUUGGUGUGAUAAAACCUAUCAAUGCCAGGAGCAAUAUCACUACUUCUCUCUGCUGUCUAACUGUGACUGUCUGUAUUAAUUAGUAUGGAUGGGGACAACUUGACCAACUUGACCUCAAAUCAGGUAGGACUACCCGCUGAACUUAAGCAUAUCAAUAAGCGGAGGA